GGGUUGUGAGGUUAAGCGACUAAGCGUACACGGUGGAUGCCCUGGCAGUCAGAGGCGAUGAAGGACGUGCUAAUCUGCGAUAAGCGUCGGUAAGGUGAUAUGAACCGUUAUAACCGGCGAUUUCCGAAUGGGGAAACCCAGUGUGAUUCGUCACACUAUCAUUAACUGAAUCCAUAGGUUAAUGAGGCGAACCGGGGGAACUGAAACAUCUAAGUACCCCGAGGAAAAGAAAUCAACCGAGAUUCCCCCAGUAGCGGCGAGCGAACGG
RNAcentral lists this ribosomal RNA (268 nucleotides) under Escherichia coli. RNAcentral describes it as "partial 23S ribosomal RNA". It matches the Rfam family "Bacterial large subunit ribosomal RNA", at positions 1 to 260 of the family's 2925-position model. The record is from RNAcentral. Lineage: Bacteria; Pseudomonadati; Pseudomonadota; Gammaproteobacteria; Enterobacterales; Enterobacteriaceae.